RNAcentral lists this transfer RNA (65 nucleotides) under Phytophthora infestans (potato late blight agent). It matches the Rfam family "tRNA". From Rfam's summary of the family: Transfer RNA (tRNA) molecules are approximately 80 nucleotides in length. Their secondary structure includes four short double-helical elements and three loops (D, anti-codon, and T loops). The record is from Rfam by way of RNAcentral. RNAcentral also lists the same sequence under 1 other name. Lineage: Eukaryota; Oomycota; Peronosporomycetes; Peronosporales; Peronosporaceae.
GACGACGUAGCUCAGUGGAAGAGCACAGGGCUAUGCCUUGAGGGGUUCAAACCCAGCCGUCGCCA